UAUCUCCAUGUUAUUGUCUCAAGUCUUCAGUCUCUGCACCGAACUCUUACAAUCAACCAAGUCGUUGCUAAGACGGUGCUUAAAAGAGCAGCGGCAUGGGUUAAAAUUGUACUUACUAGACAGUCUUUGAUAAUCUGUUAUAGUUUUGUACAAGAGUAAUGUUUGGGAUGCUUAAACCUUUGGCAUAUUUUGUAAGUUGAAAAAUGAAUAUACUAAAGAC
Molecule: long non-coding RNA, 220 nt
Filed under: Mytilus galloprovincialis (Mediterranean mussel)
Lineage: Eukaryota; Metazoa; Mollusca; Bivalvia; Mytilida; Mytilidae
Source: RNAcentral